AUUGAACGCUGGCGGCAGGCUUAACACAUGCAAGUCGAGCGAGCGGCGGACGGGUGAGUCAUGUCUGGGAAACUGCAUGAUGGAGGGGGAUAACUACUGGAAACGGUAGCUACUACCGCAUACCAUCAGAUGUGCCCGGAUGGGAUUAGCUAGUAGGUGGGGUAAGUGCUCACCUAGGCGACGAUCCAUAGCUGGUCUGAGAGGAUGACCAGCCACACGGGAACUGAGACACGGUCCAGACCCCUACGUGAGGCAGCAGUGGGGAAUAUUGCACAAUGGGCGCAAGCCUGAUGCAGCCAUGCCGCGUGUGUGAAGAAGGCCUUCGGGUUGUAAAGCACUUUCAGCGAGGAGGCGUUACUCGCAGAAGAAGCACCGGCUAACUCCGUGCCAGCAGCCGCGGUAAUAC
RNAcentral lists this ribosomal RNA (406 nucleotides) under uncultured bacterium. RNAcentral's name for it is "partial 16S ribosomal RNA". It matches the Rfam family "Bacterial small subunit ribosomal RNA", at positions 30 to 526 of the family's 1533-position model. The record is from RNAcentral.